ACCCACAUGAUACGAAAGGAUAACAGCUGUACUUCAAAAUUUGGUGCUUUCAGUCCCCCCUCGCUAGGAGACUUUUGAAUAACUUCCGAUUUAACUUUCGGAGUACUAUCAUUCCAUAAAAAGUUAUUAAUGUCCCUUUGUAUUUUAAUUACAUAAGAUCUUGGUACAUGUGUAGAUGAAAUGACAUAAAUAAGCUUCGAUAUUGCAAGUGAUUUAAGAAUUACGAUUUUACCGAUCA
RNAcentral lists this long non-coding RNA (238 nucleotides) under Mytilus galloprovincialis (Mediterranean mussel). The record is from RNAcentral. Lineage: Eukaryota; Metazoa; Mollusca; Bivalvia; Mytilida; Mytilidae.